This 201-nucleotide unclassified non-coding RNA is filed under the name uncultured fungus. RNAcentral's name for it is "sequence contains ITS1". Lineage: Eukaryota; Fungi. The record is from RNAcentral.
UUUUUUUGUUAUAUUUUUUUACAUUCUUUAACUAGUGUUUAAUAAUAAAGCCGCGAAACGUAUUCAAGAGCUAUUAACUCGAGAUAACAUUAAGCCGAAAAGUGCACAGUGUGGAAAGUGGAGGUCAGGCCUUUGUAGUGUUAAAGCUACAAAGCACCCUAAUAUUCACUAAUGAUCCUUCCGCAGGUUCACCUACGGAAA